GACGAACGCUGGCGGCGUGCUUAACACAUGCAAGUCGAACGGAAAGGCCCUGCUUGCAGGGUACUCGAGUGGCGAACGGGUGAGUAACACGUGGGUGAUCUGCCCUGCACUUCGGGAUAAGCCUGGGAAACUGGGUCUAAUACCGGAUAGGAGCCAUUUUUAGUGUGAUGGUUGGAAAGUUUUUUCGGUGUAGGAUGAGCUCGCGGCCUAUCAGCUUGUUGGUGGGGUAAUGGCCUACCAAGGCGGCGACGGGUAGCCGGCCUGAGAGGGUGGACGGCCACAUUGGGACUGAGAUACGGCCCAGACUCCUACGGGAGGCAGCAGUGGGGAAUAUUGCACAAUGGGCGCAAGCCUGAUGCAGCGACGCCGCGGGGGGGAUGACGGGCUUCGGGUUGUAAACUCCUUUCGCUAGGGACGAAGCUUUUUGUGACGGUACCUAGAUAAGAAGCACCGGCUAACUACGUG
This 465-nucleotide ribosomal RNA is filed under the name uncultured bacterium. RNAcentral describes it as "partial 16S ribosomal RNA". It matches the Rfam family "Bacterial small subunit ribosomal RNA", at positions 28 to 507 of the family's 1533-position model. The record is from RNAcentral.